Molecule: RNA transcript, 1835 nt
Organism: Leptopilina boulardi
Lineage: Eukaryota; Metazoa; Arthropoda; Insecta; Hymenoptera; Figitidae
Gene: PDCD-5
Gene name: programmed cell death protein 5
Exons: 6
Source: RefSeq, a predicted model, not a curated record
AAUUUAUAUUUGUGUUAAAAAAGAAUUUAUCAACUUUAUUUUCAAAAUUUUUAUCCGAAAGACGUAAUAAAUAAUACAUAAAAAAUGGCAGAUCCAGAAUUAGAAGCUAUUCGUAAACAACGUAUGGCUCAAUUACAAUCACAAUUUAAGGGCAAUGAACCUGGAAAUCAACAAGCCAAUGAAGAAAAAAGGCAACAAUUGGAAGAUAUGAAAAAUGUCAUUCUAUCGCAAGUACUCGAUCAAUCUGCAAGAGCUAGAUUAAAUACUCUUUCACUUGGUAAACCAGAAAAGGGAAGAAUGAUUGAAGAAAUGAUUGUAAACAUGGCAAAACGAGGACAACUUCCCGGUAAACUUGGUGAACAAGAAUUAAUUGGUCUUCUCGAAAGUGUUAGUGAACAAACGAAAAAAACAACAACUAUCAAGUUUGAUAGGCGCAGAGCUGCUUUGGAUUCAGACGACGAUUUGUAACAUAUUUCGCGAAAAGACUGACCAUAUUUUUAAUACUACGCUUCGUGUAAUUUCCAGAAUUUCACGGAAUAUGUCAAAUUUCUUUUGAUGUGCAUCUUUAACAACUAAUACACAAGUGGAGUGUUUGCAAGACGAAAAUGAACACUGACACUGACGCACCCCUGAAUAAUUCUCAUGCUUCUCCCGCGUCGAAUCAUCAGAUGAUUUUACACAAAAUUCUCCAUCAAUUUUAUAAGUAUUUUUUUUUUCUAACAACAAUUUUUUUUUUUAAAUAAACACAUUUAUUUCUUUAAAUAGAAUUGUUAAGCAAAUAUAUUAAUUGUAAACGAAUAUUAUGUGUGAUAUAAUAAUAAUAUCAGUUUUUAAUUUUUUUUUUUUUGUACUUUUAUUAAAAUAUUUAUAUAUAAUUAAUAUGUUAUUAUUUUUCAUAUGCUUCGAAUUGAAUAAUAAAUAAAUGUUAACAAACUGAGUAUUUUAUUACAUCGAAUGUCAUUAAAAUUAUUAAUAAAUAAAUUUUGCUGAUAAAAUAAAAUUAUAAAAAAAAAUAUUGAAAUUAAUUUUCAUUGUAUUAAUAAUAAAAUUCUAUUUUAUUAUAGAAAAAUUUUUGUAAUUCAGCGACAUCUUCACAUUUAUUUAUUCAAUUGUUUUUAUAAAUUAAAAAUGUGACAAAUAUUUGUCAAAAGAGAAACGUAUAAGUACAAAAAAAUUUUCUAUUCAAAAUUUUUAAGUUUAAAAUGUGUUAAUUAAUUAAAAAGUAUUAAUAAGAAAAUUUUUACAAAAUAUUCCAUAAAAAUAGAAAAAAAAAGAUUGAAAUGUUUAAAAAAUUUAGUGAUUCUUUUAACAAAGAAUUUUAUUUUCACAAUGUUUUGAAAGUUCAGGAUUAAUUUACAUCUGAUUUGAAGAAGAAAAUUGUCAAUUGAACGACUUGGAAAAUUUUUAGAGAAAAAAAAAAUUGAAAAACUAUUAUUAAAAUUAAAUUCAAAAAUGUACGUCACUCAAUUAGUGAUAUGCUUUCUUGUUAUUUUAUACUUUUUUCCUGCAAUAAUUGUAAAUUAUUUGUAUUUACUUUUAUCUCGUACUAUAUUUGAAUUUAUAAUUGCCAUAAUCGCAGAAUCAUCGCAACCAUUUUAUGAAAAUCUUUCACAAUACAUGCCAGAUGUAAUGUCUUAUCUGAAAAAUGGCACUACGCCAGAAUGGUUUCAAAAAUUAAAUAAUGUUCAAAAUUUAUAGAAUCAAUAUUAUAAAUGUAAACAAAAAAAUUCUAUUUUGUAAAUAUUGUAAAUUAAAUGGUAAUCGAGAAUGAGGAAUGUUAUACGAUAUUUUUUUUCUUUUUGCAAAGGACAUGAGAAAUAAAUAAUUUCAAUGAA